CUAUGUAACUAUGUUAUUAAUAACAUGAGUGAUACCACUUUUUAUGAACCUAUUAAAUUGUGCAGAAUUUCACCAGUGACCAGUUCUGCUUUAAGAGGAGCAGUUACUUCUCACCCUCAAGUUAUGUAAAAAUCAUGCUUAUCUCAGUAGCAUUUACACAUUUUACCCCAUGAUGCCACAGGCACACUUGCACAACUACAGAAAAACCCCUACAAGCACAUGCAUUCUUAAGCAUUCAUUCAGUAUUGCUGUACAUGCGCAUGCAGCAUGCAUGCAUUAGUGCAAGGGUUAAUUUAAUUUAUUUGUCUCCCUUGGCAUGCAUAUCAGUGUAUGCACAUUUUUUUCAAAAAAACUGAGAAUGUUUAUUAAUAAGUAGAAUUAACCAACAGCUAAGAUUUAGUUAGCUAAUGGAUUGUGGAAAAAUCUCACAAGUGACAGUGCUGCAUCCC
This is a non-coding RNA of Pelobates cultripes (western spadefoot toad), 449 nucleotides long. NCBI's taxonomy places the organism in Eukaryota, Metazoa, Chordata, Amphibia, Anura, Pelobatidae. The record is from the annotation of a GenBank genome assembly.